AGGUGCGAUCAUAAAACACUAAUGUUGCGGAUCCCAUCGGAACUCCGCAGUCAAGUGUGCUUGGGUGAGAGUAGUACUAGGAUGGGUGACCUCCUGUUGCACCUC
Molecule: non-coding RNA, 105 nt
Organism: Lupinus angustifolius (narrow-leaved blue lupine)
Lineage: Eukaryota; Viridiplantae; Streptophyta; Magnoliopsida; Fabales; Fabaceae
Source: Rfam